Molecule: ribosomal RNA, 259 nt
Filed under: Clostridioides difficile
Lineage: Bacteria; Bacillati; Bacillota; Clostridia; Peptostreptococcales; Peptostreptococcaceae
Description: partial 23S ribosomal RNA
Rfam family: Bacterial large subunit ribosomal RNA
Source: RNAcentral
GUAAAGGCAAAAGAGAGCUUGAUUGCAAGACAUACAGGUCGAGCAAGGAUGAAAAUCGGACUUAGUGAUCCGGUGGGUCUGCGUGGAAGGGCCAUCGCUCAACGGAUAAAAGCUACCCUGGGGAUAACAGGCUUAUCUCCCCCAAGAGUCCACAUCGACGGGGAGGUUUGGCACCUCGAUGUCGGCUCAUCACAUCCUGGGGCUGUAGUAGGUCCCAAGGGUUGGGCUGUUCGCCCAUUAAAGUGGUACGCGAGCUGGG